This 402-nucleotide unclassified non-coding RNA is filed under the name soil metagenome. RNAcentral's name for it is "partial contains 5.8S ribosomal RNA, internal transcribed spacer 2, and large subunit ribosomal RNA". The stretch from base 1 to 121 matches the Rfam family "5.8S ribosomal RNA", at positions 35 to 154 of the family's 154-position model. The record is from RNAcentral.
GAUGAAGAACGUAGCGAAUUGCGAUAAGUAAUGUGAAUUGCAGAAUUCAGUGAAUCAUCGAAUCUUUGAACGCACCUUGCGCCCUUUGGCUAUUCCGAAGGGCAUGCCUGUUUGAGUAUCAUGAACACCUCAACUCUCAUGGCUUGCUGUGAUGAGCUUGGAAUUUGGGGGUCUUGUUGGCUUGUGAGCCAGCUCCUCCUAAAUGAAUUAGCUUGCCGGUGUUUGGUGGCAUCACAGGUGUGAUAACUAUCUACUCUUGUGGUUUCCCAUCAGGUAACCUCCAGUGAUGGAGGUUCGCUGGGGCUCAUAAAUGUCUCUCCUCCGUGAGGACAGAUUUUGACUGUUUGAUCUCAAAUCAGGUAGGACUACCCGCUGAACUUAAGCAUAUCAAUAAGCGGAGGA